This is a long non-coding RNA of Passer domesticus (house sparrow), 6575 nucleotides long. RefSeq lists it as uncharacterized. The record is from RefSeq and is a predicted model, not a curated record. The transcript is spliced from 3 exons. NCBI's taxonomy places the organism in Eukaryota, Metazoa, Chordata, Aves, Passeriformes, Passeridae.
AAUGGACAGGGGAGGAUGGAAUGGGGAUGGGAAUGGAUGGGGACUGUGCAGAGAAGCCACACUAUGAAAAGCCAAAGGAUACAUAGGAGUCCUGCAACUUCAUUUGAACAAAGGGAGAGUCCACUGGGACAUACAUCUGUGGGGAGGCGGGUGUCUGUCUCGGUUCUGGUUUUUAUUCUAAACUCCCGAUUGUGUGUUGCCCUCUUCCUUUCCCCACUGGCUGAGUACCAGGAAGGUACAGCCUUCCCAAACUGCUUACCACAUAUCCCUCCUUGAACAUGUGCCACCAUUUCCCCCUGAAUUCAGAAGCUCAGGCUGUCUGGGUUCUUCAGACCCACCAGAAGUUCAGACCAUCUGCAUUACACUUCUGUUAUAAAUAAGAAGCUUGACUAGGCCAAUACUCAAGAAGCAAUCAAUUUAUUAAUUAAUAUGGUAAAGUAUGAGCAAUACAGCACUGGGUACAGUGGGGGAAAUUUUCCCUCCAACUGCACGCCGAUAGUUGGGGCUUACAGAUAUUUAUAGGGGUUUUCAUAAGCUUUCUCGGCAGUUUCUAUUCCAAAUUUUUAUGUCACGAUUCUAUACACUACUGUGAUUUAGUUUUUCUCAGGUUGUAUCCCAGAAAGGAGUAUCCCCAGAUAGUGGGGGUCUGGCUUCAGAAAGACGAAAGAAGUCUCCCAGCUGGUGAGGUCCAGGUUCCAGUUGUGGGUCCAUCAUAUAAUUACAAGAACUAUAAAUCUCAUACCAGUGAUGUCCAGCUUCCCUUGGUCAAAACUAGUAAUCCUUGAGCUGAUAUUCAUCUUCCUAUCUCAAGCUGCUUUUCAAUGUUUUGUUAAGGCAUUGAGAUAAGCAGGUUUCCUUUUUAUGUAUUCUAAAGCUAUAGUUUCAAAGAUCCUUACUACAAGCAAUAUUCUAAAAUUAUACUUCAAAAGGUUAUUAUUGCAAACUCUUUUUAGCUACAAGCCGAAAGUUCCUGUCAAACAACAACAUCCUUAAAGCUUUAUUUCAAAUACUCCUAAAUCAACUUAAGACUUAUAAAGGUUAAUUGCAAACCAAGGAUAGGUUCAAAGGCCUUCUUCCAUGCUUUACUUCCUCAGUUAUUUAUUAGAAUUGUCUUUAUAACUGUCCCGUGGUCAGUUUCCACACAUAUCACAAUCACAGAUACACAGGUUGCCUGUAUGUACCUGAAACCAAACACAGCUUUGUAUUUCACACUUCCAUUUGUCCUAUUACUCUACAGUUCAGGAGCUCAAACUCUUUGGGUCAAGUGGCUAGAUUCUGUAACAGACUUGCCAGGGUGGAUGUUCACAGAUAUUACGACCCAUUUAGAAGACAUUAACACCAUUUCUGUGAUAGUAGGGAAGAACCCAACACCCAUUCUUUCCACAUCGAGUUUUUUGUGAAGACAUCAGCACCAUUAUUCCCACCAGGACGAAGCAGUUGGGAUGGGGACAGAGGCAGUGGGGAUGGAGUCGGCUGGCGUGGACAAGGUUACCAAGGGAAUGGCGGCUGAGAUGAGGAUGGAGGCGGAUGAAUGGAGACGGUGUGGCUGAUAAAGGGGGAAGGAGGACGAUGGAAUGGCGAUGAAUGCCAUAGAGGCGGCUGGAAGGCGAUGGCGGCGGUUGCGCAGGGGAUGAGGGAGGUGGCGGCGGCUGAGGGCGGGUGCCUGUGCCGGCUCGUCCCGCCCCGGCGCGGCCGGAUGUCCCUUGGAGCGGAGCGGGCGGCGGCAGCGGGCGCGUGGUCUCCAGUUAAACUCAGGACAUUCUGGCCAGCCCAGAUGUAUGAUCCAGACAAAAUGCGUGAUCCUGUCUGGGCCUGGAGUUGGAUCCAGCUGCUCCUGGCUCCUCUCAGGCUUCUGGAAAACCAGGGCAUCCCUCCUUCACCCUGUGACCCAACGGAAGGGGCUUCCCCAUAAACCCCCACAGCUUCCUGAGGAUAUGGCAGUGCACAGCACAGGGUGUCACCCACUCCUGGAGAGCUGGGAAUGCACAGCACAGGGUGUCACCCACUCCUGGAGAGCUGGGAAUGCACAGCACAGGGUGUCACCCACUCCUGGAGAGCUGGGAAUGCACAGCACAGGGUGUCACCCACUCCUGGAGAGCUGGGAAUGCACAGCACAGGGUGUCACCCACUCCUGGAGAGCUGGGAAUGCACAGCACAGGGUGUCACCCACUCCUGGAGAGCUGGCAGUGCACAGCACAGGGUGUCACCCACUCCUGGAGAGCUGGGAAUGCACAGCACAGGGUGUCACCCACUCCUGGAGAGCUGGGAAUGCACAGCACAGGGUGUCACCCACUCCUGGAGAGCUGGGAAUGCACAGCACAGGGUGUCACCCACUCCUGGAGAGCUGGCAGUGCACAGCACAGGGUGUCACCCACUCCUGGAGAGCUGGGAAUGCACAGCACAGGGUGUCACCCACUCCUGGAGAGCUGGCAGUGCACAGCACAGGGUGUCACCCACUCCUGGAGAGCUGCCAGCUGAGUCCCUGGAGCAGAACUGGGGGUUGCUCUUGCUCCAGGGACAAGCUGUGGGAUGGCUCAAAUCCUAGUGAUUCUGGGAGCUCUUGGAUCCACCCUGUAGCCCUGGCAAGUUUUCCCUUGCAGUCAGCCACACUUAAUUUUGGGUGUUUGUGCUGCAUGUGUGCUCACCCACACCUUGGGGUGCCUUGGGAUCCACCUACACCCUCAGAGGCUCUGGGGUGCCCUGGCUUGUGCUGGGGAUGUAAAGAAAGCAGAGCCUCCUUGGGGAAGAUGCCCCCAGUGAGAAAUGGGGAACAGGAGCUUGUGUGGCUGUGCCCAGAAAGCUGGGAGGGGUCUUGGGAAAGGGGUGAUGGUACAAGAGACCAGCAGAACCCUUCCAGGGAGGAAGCAGCUUGGACAUUCUUUAAGGAAGCUGGGCCCUGGCACCACCACUUCAGGUGCAGGGGAUGAAGGAAGCAGGUGGAGCUGCUCUUUUAUGGGUCCUGCUCCAUGGGAUCUGACAGUGGCCAGCCCACGGGAUCAGCACUGUGGAAGAGCAACUGGGAGGGUGCUCAGGGCCAGUGCUGCUCCUCAGGGCUCCCCUUGUCCCCCUCCUGGGACAGGAUUAGGAUUUGGAAGGGAUGUGGAGCCCCAGCUCUGCUCCAAGCCUGGCACAGCUGGGAAUUGCAGUGCAGGUGCUGCACGGCCCUUGGCCAGACUUGGAAUCUCCUCUUGCUGCCAGAUGAGCCACAUGGCUCCUUCUCCUCCAGCCCCAGCUUCUGCCAGGCCUCCUCCAGCACCCCCCAGUCCCUUGCUAGCUGCUCCUCUUUGGCUUUCAGUACGUGGCACUGGAAUUUCAGCUGUGCCUUUUGCAGGCAUGGGCUGGGAGACUCCAUGUGUCCCCUGCCCUGUCCUGGGCACUCAUGACAUCCCAUGGCUUGAGAUCCUCAAACUCAGAUCUCAGCCCUCCUCACCUGGGGUUUGAGCCUCUCAGUCUGGAGUUUGGGAUCCUCAUACUAGGGGUUGGGACCCUUGAACUCUUGUUGUGCACGAGGGUUCAUUCCCUGCCUGCCAGUUUCCACCCCAAACAGAGGGAUUUCUUAUUUUUCAUAACAGUUUCUCAGGGAGGAGCUGGAGCUGUCUGCAAAAGGCUGAUCCCAGUCUGACCAGCAGGACUGGCACUGGUUUGGAGUAGGGAGUCAGUGGGUUGGUGAUCACAGCCCUGUGUUUUGUUGGUUGUAAAGUGGCUGGUUUUGCACUCAGUGGUGGAUUUUGGGGGUCACACCCGGAUAAAACUGGGGGAGGUGUAGGCGAGGAGCUUAUUUGGAGGUACAGAGACAAAAGGGGCGUGGGGGGACCCCAGGGUGGGCUUUGGGAUCUCCCUUGAGUGGGCGAGGGGGUCGGAGGGAGCCCAGGUCGAGCUUUGGGGUUUUUGGGCUGGAUUUUGUCACCUUGGGUGCUGGCGCCCCCUGGCGGCUGGAAGGACCCAGCUUGGGGUGCUGCUCAGUGGGGGAGGGGCGGCUUUGGGAGGGUCCUUCCCAAAUGGGGCAUGUGAUGGGAGAACCCUGGAGACCCCAGGAGGCAGAUUUGGGGUCCCCUAGUGGGGUGUCCUGGGCGUUGGUGCCCCGUGGUGACUGGGAGGACACAGCGUUUCCUGGUCCCCCUCACCGGGGCUGUGGUUUGAGGGUGGGUUCUGGGGAUCCCCAGGACAUAUUUUAGGAUUUCAGGGUGGGUUUUGUGGUGGGUUGAGGGGUCCUGGAUGGAUUUGAGGGUUCCAGCAUCUGUAGUGCAAAGUCCAGGGCAGGGGCACUGUCAGUCAGACCCCAAUGGACACUACGUUGAUGUGAGGCCCCAAAAACUGGGGGAAGAUCCCCAAAACAAUCCCCCUGCUGGCCUCUGCUGUGUGCAGCUCCUGGGAGACAUCUUCCACCCUUCCCCAAAAGUUGGGUGUGUGCUGGACACCCCCUGAAAUUGGGGUGUGUUACAGCCCAAAUCUGUCCAAUUGGAACCCCCCCCCCCCAAACAAAACCACAAUUUCAGGGGCUACUCCACCCAUUGGCCUCCAACAUUGGGGUGUUCUCGCCCUAAUCCUCAAAAUCAACACUUAUGACCACAAAAUUGGGAGUCCCCCAAACCAGAAACCUCCUGAAAUCUGCCCCGUGGGGGCUCCCCAUGACCCACUGAUCCCCAGUAUUACAGUCUGAGCAUCCAGAAAAACUCCAAAUUCCAGCUCUCCAACCCACUGGCCAACAAAAUUAAAGUUCUCUCCCUCUAGCACCCUCUAAUCCAGGGUGCAAACCCUUAGUAAAUGCCUAAAAUUGGAGUACUCAACCCAGAACACCCCAAAAUUGCAGUUCCUCCACUCAAACCCUCCAAUCCAAGCAUUUCCUACCCACCGUUGCCCAAAACGGUGGUCCCCUCACCCCCCCCCCAAAAAAAACAAACAAAAAAACCAAACCACCCAAAACUGGAGUUUUCCAACACUUUGACCCGCAAAGAUUGUGUUCUCCCCCUUAUCUUUGAGGCUGCUCCAUAUUUCACAGUAGAUUGCCUCCAGUUUACUGGUUCAGCCUUAUGCCUUAGAGUCCCCCAUUUUUGUCACACCCUUGAUUUUGGGGUCUCAUCUGGGGGGAUGUGCAUAGCCUGGAUCUGUGUGGUUACUCCCCACUUUCCAGGGGUUUCCCCCUGAUUUUCCCCCGAUCUAUCUCCCAUUUUUACAAUUCAAGACCCUAUUUUUGGGGUCCAGUCUCACCAUCGCUGGUCCCCCUCCAGUUUUGGGGCUCACCUGUGGGGCCAGGUUGUCCAGCAGGAUGAUGUCAGCCCCAGCCCCCGCAGCCGCCAGCGCCUCCUCCACCCUCGAGCACUCGACCUCCAACCAGCGGGUGAAGCCCCCGGCCCGGCGCACCCCCAAAAUCAUCUGGGGAACAGGGGGGUCAGGGGGAGCCCCAGAUCAAUGCCCAAUCCCUCAGACCAAUAUGGGGUGGGGUAAAAUGGGGGCUGUCCCCAGUCAUUGACUCAAAAUUAGGGUCCCCCAUCAACCGCCAGCAUGGAUCCCCACAAAUUUACAUCUCGUCCCGAGAUUCCCCCAAUUCAAGGGUGUCCACUGACCCCAAAGUUGGGCUUCCUCCACCUAUGACCCCUCCCUCCCAGUUCAGGGGUUCCCCCCCAAACUGGGACCUCCCCUAUGCAUCCCCCCCCCAGUCCAGGGGUCCUCCCCCAUCCGUCCAUGCCCAGAAUACCCCAAUCCAGGAGUUUGUCCCAAAAUUGGUACCCCCUUCAAGUAUUGGUGCUUCCCCACCACCCUUGAAAUUUGGGGUACCCCAAACCAUCACUCCCUCCAAAACUGAGCCCCCUUCACCAAAACACCCCAUUCCUCCAAACCUCAUGUUCCCCCUAUCCCACACCUCCCAAACUGGGGUUGUCAUGCCUACCACCAGUUCAAGGAUCCCCCACCCAUUUACCCCCAAACUGGGGUUCCUGCACCCCCAGUCUUUGGGGUCCUCACUUAGCACCCCACAAUCCAGGGGUCCUGCCCAUCAGGUGGGCAGGCUGUUUUUUGGGCAGGUUGAUGUUCACAUCCAGGCCAGUGGUCGGUUCUCUGACGGGCUGUGGGGGACAUCUGGACAUUGUGUCUGGCAGUGGGGCAGGAGCUGCUGAAGCCACCGCCUUCCGAGAGUGUCCUCGUGGAGAAGGGACAGCUCAGCGCUCCUGGCGCUCGCAGCACACGUUGGACAGAGAAAAAGAAUUUAUUGCUCACUUAUCAGAAGAAACUUCUUCCCACCUAGCUCGGCCCUGAAGAUGCCUUUAGGAUUCAGUUAGGAUUCAGAGGAAGAAGUUGACAUUGACCAGACAGAAUCCUUUGUUUAAAUGGAAUUUAUGCAUCAUGUAUGAAAUGUAUGAAUAUGCAACAGGCUAUUAUUUAUUUUAAGGGUUAAUCCUCUGUUAAAGGUAUGUCCUUUUUUGGGCUUAUUUUGCCCAGAAAGAGGUACCCGACUGUCCAUAACCCUUUGUUUUUAUAGUCUCAUAUUGUCCUAAUCCUGAUUGUCCAAAUUUUCAUUACUCAAAUUAUAUUACUAUUUUUAUAACCAUUUUAUUACUAUUAAACUUUUAAAAUUUUAA